RNAcentral lists this long non-coding RNA (444 nucleotides) under Salvia miltiorrhiza (redroot sage). RNAcentral describes it as "long non-coding RNA (SMIL_LNC002626)". The record is from RNAcentral. Lineage: Eukaryota; Viridiplantae; Streptophyta; Magnoliopsida; Lamiales; Lamiaceae.
AAGAGUUGAGAAAACGUCCCUGAUUAUCGGCAUUGAGAAACUGAAGCAUCGUGCGAGGUGGCGAAGUGUGGAAUUUGCUGUCUGUGGCAGAGUGAAGAGUGGCCACGCUGAAUCAGGUCAGCGCUGGCAGAGCAGCGCGGAGAAGUAGCGGUGGUGGCAGCUACGCUGGCGGCAUAUUGAGAAUUGCAGCGCUGAAAACAAGACAUGCACACCACGCAUCAUAGUAUCCGCAAAGCAACCGAAACUUAGGAAAAACACGAAAUAAAAACGAAAAACAAAGAACAAAAAAAAAAAAACAAAAACAAAAACAAAACCAAACCACGGUGGGUUGCCUCCACCAAGCGCUAGUUUUAAAGUCGCCAGCCCGACGUAGAGGAUCCCUUAACCAAAAUCGCUAUGAAAUGUCAGCUGAAUUAGUCCUCGUGAAAGCACAUCAUCCUCCAG